GCUAAGCAUGAUAGCACAUGGUCAUAAUCCUAGCUCUGAGGGAAAUCGAGUCUGGAGAUAUCUUAAGCUUGGGAGUUCUUAGCUGUAGUGGGCUAUGGAAAUAGAAUGUCCACACUAAAUUCAGAAUCAAGAUGGUAAGCCCCCAGAAUCUGAGGGCCACCAUGUUGCUUAAGGAGGGACAAAAUGACCCAUGUCAGAAAAAGAGCAGAUCAAAGCUCACAUGCUGAUCUACGUAGUAGAUUCAGACCCAUGAGUAACCCCUACACUUUCAGCCUGGGCAAAGAUAGGAAAAGUCUUU
Molecule: non-coding RNA, 298 nt
Filed under: Phascolarctos cinereus (koala)
Lineage: Eukaryota; Metazoa; Chordata; Mammalia; Diprotodontia; Phascolarctidae
Source: RNAcentral